CUACGGGCCGCACCAGUAAGGAAUAUUGCGCAAUGGAGGCAACUCUGACGCAGCCAUGCCGCGUGCAGGAAGAAGGCCUUAUGGGUCGUAAACUGCUUUUAUUUAGGAAUAAACCCCCGAACGUGUUCGGGGCUGAAGGUACUAAACGAAUAAGCACCGGCUAACUCCGUGCCAGCAGCCGCGGUAAUACGGAGGGUGCAAGCGUUAUCCGGAUUUAUUGGGUUUAAAGGGUGCGCAGGCGGGCUGUUAAGUCAGUGGUGAAAUCCCGGGGCUCAACUCCGGAACUGCCAUUGAUACUGAUAGUCUUGAGUUUGGUUGAAGUGGGCGGAAUGUAGCGUGUAGCGGUGAAAUGCAUAGAUAUGCUACAGAACACCAAUCGCGAAGGCAGCUCACUAAGCCAAAACUGACGCUCAUGCACGAAAGCGUGGGGAUCAAACAGGAUUAGAUACCCCGGUAGUC
RNAcentral lists this ribosomal RNA (459 nucleotides) under uncultured bacterium. RNAcentral's name for it is "partial 16S ribosomal RNA". It matches the Rfam family "Bacterial small subunit ribosomal RNA", at positions 339 to 795 of the family's 1533-position model. The record is from RNAcentral.